RNAcentral lists this ribosomal RNA (496 nucleotides) under uncultured bacterium. RNAcentral's name for it is "partial 16S ribosomal RNA". It matches the Rfam family "Bacterial small subunit ribosomal RNA", at positions 30 to 523 of the family's 1533-position model. The record is from RNAcentral.
AUUGAACGCUGGCGGAAUGCUUUACACAUGCAAGUCGAACGGUAGAGGGGGCAACCCCUCGAGAGUGGCGAACGGGUGAGUAAUAUAUCGGAACGUGCCCAGUCGUGGGGGAUAACGUAGCGAAAGUUACGCUAAUACCGCAUACGAUCUAAGGAUGAAAGCGGGGGAUCGCAAGACCUCGCGCGAUUGGAGCGGCCGAUAUCAGAUUAGGUAGUUGGUGGGGUAAAGGCUCACCAAGCCAACGAUCUGUAGCUGGUCUGAGAGGACGACCAGCCACACUGGAACUGAGAGACGGUCCAUACUCCUACGGGAGGCAGCAGUGGGGAAUUUUGGACAAUGGACGCAAGUCUGAUCCAGCCAUUCCGCGUGCAGGAUGAAGGCCCUCGGGUUGUAAACUGCUUUUGUACGGAACGAAAAGGUCUCUCUUAAUACGGGGGACUCAUGACGGUACCGUAAGAAUAAGCACCGGCUAACUACGUGCCAGCCGCCGCCGUAA